This 645-nucleotide ribosomal RNA is filed under the name Streptomyces sp. TAD068. RNAcentral's name for it is "bacterial SSU rRNA". It matches the Rfam family "Bacterial small subunit ribosomal RNA", at positions 159 to 818 of the family's 1533-position model. The record is from RNAcentral. Lineage: Bacteria; Bacillati; Actinomycetota; Actinomycetes; Kitasatosporales; Streptomycetaceae.
GGGUCUAAUACCGGAUAAUACUCCUGCCUGCAUGGGUGGGGGUUAAAAGCUCCGGCGGUGAAGGAUGAGCCCGCGGCCUAUCAGCUUGUUGGUGGGGUAAUGGCCCACCAAGGCGACGACGGGUAGCCGGCCUGAGAGGGCGACCGGCCACACUGGGACUGAGACACGGCCCAGACUCCUACGGGAGGCAGCAGUGGGGAAUAUUGCACAAUGGGCGAAAGCCUGAUGCAGCGACGCCGCGUGAGGGAUGACGGCCUUCGGGUUGUAAACCUCUUUCAGCAGGGAAGAAGCGAAAGUGACGGUACCUGCAGAAGAAGCGCCGGCUAACUACGUGCCAGCAGCCGCGGUAAUACGUAGGGCGCAAGCGUUGUCCGGAAUUAUUGGGCGUAAAGAGCUCGUAGGCGGCUUGUCACGUCGGAUGUGAAAGCCCGAGGCUUAACCUCGGGUCUGCAUUCGAUACGGGCUAGCUAGAGUGUGGUAGGGGAGAUCGGAAUUCCUGGUGUAGCGGUGAAAUGCGCAGAUAUCAGGAGGAACACCGGUGGCGAAGGCGGAUCUCUGGGCCAUUACUGACGCUGAGGAGCGAAAGCGUGGGGAGCGAACAGGAUUAGAUACCCUGGUAGUCCACGCCGUAAACGUUGGGAACUA